CUCCACACAUGGAAGAUCUGUAACUCUUUUGUCAUACACCUUCUAGUAAAGUUCUAGGGAGCACAGUGACAGGUAUUCUUCCCCAAAUGUCCACAGAAAGACAUGAAAUAGAAAACAUCCAUUCUGUCAUCUCACUGUAAGUCCGUCACUGUGUGGUUGUUUAGGUGCACUGCGCGGUUGUUUAGGUGCACUGCGCGGUUGUUUAGGUGCACUGCGCGGUUGUUUAGGUGCACUGCGCGGUUGUUUAGGUGCACUGCGCGGUUGUUUAGGUGCACUGCGCGGUUGUUUAGGUGCACUGCGCGGUUGUUUAGGUGCACUGCGCGGUUGUUUAGGUGCACUGCGCGGUUGUUUAGGUGCACUGCGCGGUUGUUUAGGUGCACUGCGCGGUUGUUUAGGUGCACUGCGCGGUUGUUUAGGUGCACUGUGCGGUUGUUUAGGUGCGGUUGUUUAGGUGCGGUUGUUUAGGUGCACUGAGCACGUGUGUGUUCUGUCCCCCUGAUCUCUCCUUUAUUAGACUGACUCGCACUCCUUCCAUUGUCUUUACCAGCGGUUCUAAACCUCAGUAACUAAGCUCAUAAGGCAUUUACAAGUUAUAUUCUUUAAGAGUUGUUGGUGUAAUAGAGAAUUUCCAUGAGAACCAGAAGGUGAGCAGUCAUUGAUCAAAUCAAUCAGAAAUCAAUCCUGUUUAAUACAAGUUGCAACAGGGAGACAAUCUCCAGAAUGGAACAUUUCCAACUGGCCUUCUCUAAGCAGGCCCUAUGUUCUAAUCUCACAACACAGUGUUCUGUGAACACCCGCCGCCGAGAGGCUUGUAGGAAGUCACGGCAUCAUCUGCUAGUGCUACAGAAUACAAUAACAAUCAGUGUCCUCGUACCUCCAGUCUGGCAUCAAUCACUAUCAACAGAUAUGAGCACAUCCAUAACAUUCACUAUCAAGUCUAGUGACCAGCAACCCAUAAACAAUGAGUGUCCUAAAUAAAACACUCAAAAUCAUGUGUUUUACAUAAAGGGAGAACAUAUAAAUAAGUAUUGUGGUAAUAUUAACUUUUUUCAUCUGAAAUAUUCCCAAUACAAAUGGCUACAUAUCAACACAGGUUCAGAGAUGGAUGGAUGUACCAAUCUUACAUGGAACAAUAUAUAAAUACAUGCAACAAUUUAAAAGAUUUGACAAAGUUACAGUUCACAAAAGGAAAUCAGUCAAUUGAAAUAAAUGCAUUAUGCCCUAAUCUAUGGAUUUCACAUAACUGGGGAUCCAGAUAUACAUCUGUUGGUCACAGUAGUUAAUAUUUCUGUCCUAAAUGAACCUUUUUUGUUGUUGCUGGUUUUCAACCUUCUUUUAAUAAUUGUGACGUAAUCUAUACUUGUCUAAUGAUGUGGAGGGGAGAUCAAUUGAUCAUAACUGAGUUGUCAAUACGGAUUGUAUUUUAGAGCCGCGUGUGUGUGUGUGUGUGUGUGUGUGUGUGUGUGUUAGUUAGUGGAUGCUGGCCCUGCUAAGGUCGGUGUAUCAUGUAACUCUCCUGCAUGUGUUCAUAUUCACGGAGCGUGCUCACUCUGUUGCCAUAUUAACAUUGAACAAACCCUUAUUUUAUGUUGUACUUGGUCAAUUAGACCGAACGACCUGUUUCCCUGCCCUUGUGUUGCCUUAUUUGAAUGCCUGCGCACACAGAGCCUGCCUGGCCCAAAUGAGUGGCAGGGUGCUCCAUCGGCUCCCCAGACAUCAGGCAGGUCUGCCACUAACAGACAGCACAGAGCCUGCCUGGCCCAAAUGAGUGGCAGGGUGCUCCAUCGGCUCCCCAGACGUCAGGCAGGUCUGCCACUAACAGACAGCACAGAGCCUGCCUGGCCCAAAUGAGUGGCAGGGUGCUCCAUCGGCUCCCCAGACGUCAGGCAGGUCUGCCACUAACAGACAGCACAGAGCCUGCCUGGCCCAAAUGAGUGGCAGGGUGCUCCAUCGGCUCCCCAGACGUCAGGCAGGUCUGCCACUAACAGACAGCACAGAGCCUGCCUGGCCCAAAUGAGUGGCAGGGUGCUCCAUCGGCUCCCCAGACGUCAGGCAGGUCUGCCACUAACAGACAGCACAGAGCCUGCCUGGCCCAAAUGAGUGGCUGGGUGCUCCAUCGGCUCCCCAGACGUCAGGCAGGUCUGCCACUAACAGACAGCACAGAGCCUGCCUGGCCCAAAUGAGUGGCUGGGUGCUCCAUCGGCUCCCCAGACGUCAGGCAGGUCUGCCACUAACAGACAGCACAGAGCUCAUGUCCUCCAUAUCCUCUCUGGUUGUAGACCUGUAUCUGGGCCUUAGUAUGUCUCUGGGCCUUAGUAUGUCUCUGGGCCUUAGUAUGUCUCUGGGCCUUAGUAUGUCUCUGGGCCUUAGUAUGUCUCUGGGCCUUAGUAUGUCUCUGGGUCUUAGUAUGUCUCUGGGUCUUAGUAUGUCUCUGGGUCUUAGUAUGUCUCUGGGCCUUAGUAUGUCUCUGGGUCUUAGUAUGUCUCUGGGUCUUAGUAUGUCUCUGGGCCUUUGUAUGUCUCUGGGCCUUUGUAUGUCUCUGGGCCUUUGUAUGUCUCUGGGCCUUUGUAUGUCUCUGGGUCUUUGUAUGUCUCUGGGCCUUUGUAUGUCUCUGGGCCUUUGUAUGUCUCUGGGCCUUAGUAUGUCUCUGGGCCUUAGUAUGUCUCUGGGCCUUAGUAUGUCUCUGGGCCUUUGUAUGUCUCUGGGCCUUUGUAUGUCUCUGGGCCUUUGUAUGUCUCUGGGCCUUUGUAUGUCUCUGGGCCUUUGUAUGUCUCUGGGCCUUUGUAUGUCUCUGGGCCUUUGUAUGUCUCUGGGCCUUUGUAUGUCUCUGGGUCUUUGUAUGUCUCUGGGCCUUUGUAUGUCUCUGGGCCUUUGUAUGUCUCUGCGUCUUCACGGCCUUAGUAGUUGGUUACAACUCAUUUCUUUGUUUUCAGAAUUUACUGUAUCAGUUUGUUUCAAAUGUGUGUUUUAUUUGUCGUUUUCUAAUGCUGCCACAGAGAGUACAACUGCAGACUGAUCUUUGUCCCGAUACUAGUAAUUGGGAGAAAGUGUAUUUUUAACACCUACACCUAUUUUGCAAACUC
Molecule: long non-coding RNA, 3083 nt
Organism: Oncorhynchus keta (chum salmon)
Lineage: Eukaryota; Metazoa; Chordata; Actinopteri; Salmoniformes; Salmonidae
Exons: 3
Source: RefSeq, a predicted model, not a curated record